Wyeomyia smithii (pitcher-plant mosquito) is the source of this 208-nucleotide small nucleolar RNA. RefSeq annotates it as small nucleolar RNA U3. The transcript has a single exon. The record is from RefSeq and is a predicted model, not a curated record. NCBI's taxonomy places the organism in Eukaryota, Metazoa, Arthropoda, Insecta, Diptera, Culicidae.
AAGACUGUGCUUCACAGGAUCAUUUCUGUAGGCUAGUUUUCACUACAAGUUUUUUCCAACAGGAAAAGAUUUCCCACCCACGAUGAUGAGGCAUAGUGACUAACCUGGAGCGUGAAAAUCGGUCUGGUUGUGCUAAGUCAGUAAUGACUUAGCCGCAGACUAUUGAUGAUCGUGCUCUUUCGCAAUGGUUGGUCGCGGUCUGAGUGGU